UAUAUAUAUAAAAAAAAAAAUACGCCCGAAUGGUAACGCAUGGAAUGAAGGAACAGGACCUCGGUCCCGAUUAUCCUUAUUUUUUUCAAAUCGGUUUUACGGAACCUGAGGUAAUGAUUAACGGGAACUGACGGGGGCAUUCGUACUAUUCGGCUAGAGGUGAAAUUCUUGGAACCGAAUAUGACGAACAAGAGCGAAAGCAUUUGCCAAGGAUGUUUUCAUUAAUCAAGAACGAAAGUUAGAUGAUCGAAGGCGAUCAGAUACCGCCCUAGUUCUAACCGUAAACUAUGCUAACUAGCGAUCCGUCGGAGUCAUAACCACGACUCGGCGGGAAGCCCUCCGGGAAACCCAAGUUUUUGAGUUCCGGGGGGAGUAUGGUUGCAAAGCUGAAACUUAAAGGAAUUGACGGAAGGGCACCACCAGGAGUGGAGCCUGCGGCUUAAUUUGACUCAACACGGGAAACCUCACCAGGCCCAGACACCGGAAGGAUUGACAGAUUAAGAGCUCUUUCUCGAUUCKGUGGGUGGUGGUGCAUGGCCGUUCUUAGUUGGUGGAGUGAUUUGUCUGGUUGAUUCCGAUAACGAACGAGAUUCUAUCCUACUAAUUAGUCGUUGGAUAAUCUCCUUCGKCGGGUUGAACGGUAACCGAAAGAUCUUCUUGUUUUGGUGGUGUUGYUGUUGUUGUUNNNNNNNNNNNNNNNNNNNNNNNNNNNNNNNNNNNNNNNNNNNNNCUCUCUCUCUCUCUCACGAGAGAUGAUGGGAUAGAGGGUUUGGGGAGAGCUGUCUUACAUUAUUAUYAUCAUCAUCAUCAUCUUCGUCAUAAUCAUCAUUACUCGGUCCUAGGCCCAAUUCCCGGCGUUUGGAGCGUCCUUCGAAACACUUCUUAGAGGAAUCGACGGUAUUCCCAGCCGUAAGAGAGAGAGCGAUAACAGGUCUGUGAUGCCCUUAGAUGUUSUGGGCCGCACGCGCGCUACAAUGGAGAGAUCAAUGCGCUUUCCCCCCCUCCGAGAGGAGCGGGUAACCAUAUGAAACCUCUUCCCGUUUGGGAUUGGGGCUUGCGAGUGUUUCCCAUGAACGAGGAAUUCCUAGUAAGCGUGAGUCAUUAGCUCGCGUUGAUUAAGUCCCUG
RNAcentral lists this ribosomal RNA (1126 nucleotides) under Pleurocryptella sp. SMBL-V0642. Its description in RNAcentral is "partial small subunit ribosomal RNA". The record is from RNAcentral. Lineage: Eukaryota; Metazoa; Arthropoda; Malacostraca; Isopoda; Bopyridae.